Molecule: ribosomal RNA, 669 nt
Filed under: Inocybe griseolilacina
Lineage: Eukaryota; Fungi; Basidiomycota; Agaricomycetes; Agaricales; Inocybaceae
Also listed under: 1 other name
Description: eukaryotic LSU rRNA
Rfam family: Eukaryotic large subunit ribosomal RNA
Source: RNAcentral
UUGACCUCAAAUCAGGUAGGACUACCCGCUGAACUUAAGCAUAUCAAUAAGCGGAGGAAAAGAAACUAACAAGGAUUCCCCUAGUAACUGCGAGUGAAGCGGGAAAAGCUCAAAUUUGAAAUCUGGCGGUUCUGAACUGUCCGAGUUGUAAUCUAGAGAAGUGUUACCUGUGCUGGACCGUGUACAAGUCUCCUGGAAUGGAGCAUCAUAGAGGGUGAGAAUCCCGUCUUUGACACGGACUACCUGUACAUUAUGGUGCGCUCUCGAAGAGUCGAGUUGUUUGGGAAUGCAGCUCAAAAUGGGUGGUAAAUGCCAUCUAAAGCUAAAUAUUGGCGAGAGACCGAUAGCGAACAAGUACCGUGAGGGAAAGAUGAAAAGAACUUUGGAAAGAGAGUUAAACAGUACGUGAAAUUGCUGAAAGGGAAACGCUUGAAGUCAGUCGCGUUGGCUAGAAAUCAACCUAGCUCUUGCUCGGUGUACUUUCUGGUUGACGGGUCAGCAUCAAUUUUGACCAUUGGAUAAAGUCUUUGGGAAUGUGGCAUCUUCGGAUGUGUUAUAGCCCAUUGUCGCAUACGGUGGUUGGGAUUGAGGAACUCAGCACGCCGCAAGGCCGGGUUUCGACCACGUUCGUGCUUAGGAUGCUGGCAUAAUGGCUUUAAUCGACCCGUC